This 126-nucleotide small RNA is filed under the name Marmota monax (woodchuck). The record is from RNAcentral. Lineage: Eukaryota; Metazoa; Chordata; Mammalia; Rodentia; Sciuridae.
GCUGGGCAUGGUGGCAAAUGCCUGUAAUCUCAGCAGCUCAGGAGGCUGAGGCAGGAGGAUUGUGAAUUCAAAGCCAGCCUCAGCAAUUUAGUGAGGCCCUAAGCAACUUAUGAGACCCUGUCUCAA